AGGAUAAUAGUUUAUUAAAAACAUUUAAGUUGCAUUUAAAAAAAAUUAUUUACUGAUUUAUCUUA
RNAcentral lists this transfer RNA (65 nucleotides) under Pachyrhinus yasumatsui. RNAcentral's name for it is "tRNA-Ala". The record is from RNAcentral. Lineage: Eukaryota; Metazoa; Arthropoda; Insecta; Coleoptera; Curculionidae.